CCUUAGAAGAGCAGAAAGACGGUAAGCCGCUCUUUCCCAGAUGUUUGUAAGAUUAAAAGAUCCCUCAUUAACAAAUUGAAUUGCCCUAAACUACAGCAAAUUUAUUUCUACACACAUCUACACAUGCAUGCUGUGUCGUCGAUAUUAAGUAAUUAAAACACCAUUUUCAAUUGAUCUUAAAACAGGCAGUUGUUGAUUUUAUAAAGCACAUUUAUUCAAAUUAAACAAUGAAAACUUUCAUUCAUUUAUCUUUAAAGAUGCAUUUUACAUGACAGUAUGCGAAAACAACAACAUAUAAACAUAACAUAUUUAAAAUAAUCAAAACCUUUCCGCGUCUGCUUUAUUAAUCUCCAUUCUAAAAUAAAACAUUACAAAAAAUUACCAGGAAAUAAUCGUGAAAGGCUGUUCUUUCUUCAUAGCGUUAAUUAGGAUCUAGAAGAUAAAAUUACCCGAAAGUGUUGUCAUUGUUAAAUAAAUUACGGAUGUGCGUCUUUGCGUCAAGGUCAUGAUUCUACAUAACAACAUCCGCUUGACCUCGCAAUGCCAAGAAGAAGAAAGGCGUGGAACAUUUGCUUAAGCCUGUUAAGAUCUUCAGCAGAUGUUUGAGAAAAAAGUCAUCAUCCUCUUCGUCACACUUCAUCCGUAUUUGGGGUAACAAGCACCUGCUUCCCACAAGAGACUGGACCGCUGAAGUCAGACCUGCACCUUCCUUGAACAUGUCGGUAUCUUACUCUGUAUUUGUUCACGGUGGUCA
Paramisgurnus dabryanus is the source of this 754-nucleotide long non-coding RNA. RefSeq lists it as uncharacterized. NCBI's taxonomy places the organism in Eukaryota, Metazoa, Chordata, Actinopteri, Cypriniformes, Cobitidae. The record is from RefSeq and is a predicted model, not a curated record.